UACCAACAGACAACUGUCAGUUCAACUGAACAGUCACCUGCUUCAGGAAAUUUUAUUGGAGUUAUCUAACUUGAUCUGAAUGUGCACAUUAAACACUCUGACCUGUGAUUUGAUCGAUGCUCUUUCGGUUUGAAGUCGAUGACCAUAAACAUUAUUAUUAAAGAUUAUCCAGCAAAGCAAACAAACAAACAACCACACUGGACAAAUGGAAACUCGACCAGCCUUGGGUCUUGUGUAGUUUCAUCAAUUCGGAGUAGAUGUUGGAGUCCAGUACCUUGGAAACACAGAUCACUCCCCCCAUAAACGCACCAAGCAUUCCAGUUGUGCACGGAUCCUGGCCUGGAAAUAACAUCAAGCAUAGGAUUAUUUCCAGGGAUUUACUAGUCUAAAAUUGUUAGGAGAGGUGGAGGGUGUCGACAGUAAAGGGAACAGGAAUAUAAAGGGAACCCCAGUUAUUAAUAUGGGGUGAUUGUAACUGAACACUUUAGUCAAUUAUUUAAUUGGUGCUGGAGGCUGUUCAGCAAUCUUUGUAAUGAAUGUAGGAUAAUGAAAGGAAACGUUGGAAUUUGAAUCUUACAUGUACUUUAGAAUCCUGGAUAAAACGAGGUAUACUGCAUUUUGUAUUUAUGAUUUCUAAUCACUUUUUUAAGGUGGACAAAUGUUUUAUAUGAACAUAAAAAUUGCACAUACAUGUACUAAUAUUGGAGAUGAAUUUCAUUAUUUAUUCAUAUGUACAAAGGAAAGAUGUAAAUAUGUUAAUAAAUACUAUAUGUUAACAGAUCAAAUAUAUACAAAUUUCAGCAAAUCUUUACAUGUAAACAUGUCAGUGUUUUGAUUAACAAAUGAUUCUGUGCCUUCUAACGAUCAUAUAACUUUCUUUUUAUUUCUCUUGAACAUUUAGCUGCUCAUAUAUACACAUAUAUCUUUUUUUUUUGGAGUCUUCUUG
Molecule: long non-coding RNA, 946 nt
Organism: Gigantopelta aegis
Lineage: Eukaryota; Metazoa; Mollusca; Gastropoda; Neomphalida; Peltospiridae
Exons: 3
Source: RefSeq, a predicted model, not a curated record